This is a non-coding RNA of Chlorocebus sabaeus (green monkey), 1408 nucleotides long. The record is from RefSeq and is a predicted model, not a curated record. NCBI's taxonomy places the organism in Eukaryota, Metazoa, Chordata, Mammalia, Primates, Cercopithecidae.
CAAAAAAGAAAAAAGAAAAGAAAAGAAAGAAGAAAGAAAAAAAUAGAAUCCAGACCUGCCCAGAGAGAGGCCUGGCUUUUGCCCUCCGCCCCUGGGAAGUCAUCUCUGAGCCCUUGGUGCCUCACACAUGAGGAGGGUCUGACUGCCUGGGGGCCUUAGGCCAGCCCACAGCAAGAUGAAUUUGGGGUGGAGUUUGGGCCAGAUGGUAUCCCUGAGCUUGGGGGGGCUGGAGGCUGAGGUCAGCCACACAGAGAGGGGGAGGAGUCCCCAGUAAGAACCCAGGACACCAAGGUCUGAGGAGCGUCCCUGGCUGGCAACACUCCCUGCGUGCCGGGAGGAGUGAGGGGAGAGGACUGCUGAUACCUAGUCUCCGUGGAGCCUUCCGCGCCCUCCUCCCGGCGGCUUCCAGCGCGCCCUUCUCUGUGAUAAGCGUGACUGUGAACAUGGCUGAGUCCUUCUAAAGAACUCGCAACAGGGCCACCGCCUCCUCCCCGCUGCACACCCAGGCCUGCGUGUCAGCGGGCAGCGCGCUCAGGAACUGCUCCAGCACCAGCGGCUCCAGGACCCGCUCCUUGGUCUGCACCUCGGGCCGCAGCGGGUCCCCGCACAGGGCGCGGAGCAGCCCCAGCGCCUCGUGGGGGCCCGACGCGUCGCCCAGGUGGAAGCGGCGGAAGCGGUGCCACGAGGAGCCCGGCGCCAGGCCCUCGGCCUCCUGCUUCACCGGCACCACCAGCUCCAUGGGGCCUCCUGGAUGGCAGCGCGUGCCCCGCGUGGCCCAGGGGGCAAAGAGGUCUCUGUGAGGAGCGGCGCUCACUCGGGCGGUGAGGAAAGGGUGUCUGUCUCGUGGGAUCCCACGGAGUCAAGUCCCGGCUCUGCCCCUCGCUGGACCCCUCCGCGGUUUCUGUACCUCAGUCUGCAGCUCCUCCCGCAGCCUGUCCUAUAGCACAAAGGCUCUGGAGCAAAUUCCAGCUCUGCCUCCCACCAGCUCUGUGUCCUUGGACAAGGUACAAGGCACCUUUUGUAAUACACUGUAUGUCCAUGUCCUUGGCUCACUCAGGCGAGGCUCCCCAAGACCCCUUACCUCCCCGCACACGUGCACAAAGCUCACCGGGACUCCUCUUACACAUUUUUCAUUAUUCGUUGCUGGUACAUAGAAAUACAAUUUUUUGUAUAUUGAUCCUUCUAUCCAGUGACUUUGCAGAAUUUACUUAUUAAUUCUAGUAGCUUGUUGGCCGGGCUGGAGGGUUGGGAUUACAGGUGUGAGCCACCACCGCACCUGGCCAGAAAUUGUAUACUCUUUAGUUGUCACUGUUGACCCUCUCUUCCCAAGUCAUAAGCAUCUACUAAUCUACUUUAUCUUCAGAGUUUACUGUAGAGAUUUUAUUAAAUGAAAUUAUAUAAAAUGUUA